AUUGAACGCUGGCGGCAUGCUUUACACAUGCAAGUCGAACGGUAACAGGCAUCUGGCUGCUGAAGUGAGCGGCAGGGGUGAGUAAAGUACCUGAACGUGCCCCUGGGAGGGGGAUAAAACAGCGAAAGACGGGCUCUUAUAGCGUGUGCUCCGUGGGUGAAAGCGUGGGAGCUGUCCGCAACUCUUGGUCUCACAUCAUUGGAGGUCGGAUUGGCUAGUUGGUGGGGUGAAGGCCUACCAAGGCGACGAUCCGUAGCUGGUCUGAGAGGAUGAGCAGCCACACUGGAACUGAGACACGGCCCAGACUCCUACGGGAGGCAGCAGUGGGGAAUUUUGGACAAUGGGCGAAAGCCUGAUCCAGCAAUGCCGCGUGCGGGAAGAAGGCCUUCGGGUUGUAAAGCACUUUUGUUCGGGACGAAGAGCAGUAAGCUAAUACCUUGCUGUUUUGACGUUACCGUAAGAAUAAGCACCGGCUAACUACGUG
RNAcentral lists this ribosomal RNA (484 nucleotides) under uncultured bacterium. Its description in RNAcentral is "partial 16S ribosomal RNA". It matches the Rfam family "Bacterial small subunit ribosomal RNA", at positions 30 to 507 of the family's 1533-position model. The record is from RNAcentral.